Molecule: ribosomal RNA, 253 nt
Filed under: uncultured bacterium
Lineage: Bacteria
Description: partial 16S ribosomal RNA
Rfam family: Bacterial small subunit ribosomal RNA
Source: RNAcentral
UACGUAGGGGGCAAGCGUUGUCCGGAAUCAUUGGGCGUAAAGAGCGUGUAGGCGGCCCGAUAAGUCCGCUGUGAAAGUCCAGGGCUCAACCCUGGGAUGCCGGUGGAUACUGUCGGGCUCGAGUCCGGAAGAGGAGUGUGGAAUUCCUGGUGUAGCGGUGAAAUGCGCAGAUAUCAGGAGGAACACCAAUGGCGAAGGCAGCACUCUGGGACGUGACUGACGCUGAGACGCGAAAGCGUGGGGGGCAAACAGG